AAAAUAAACGAGCGCCUAGCAAUUGUAUAAUUUCAGAAGAAACCUGUUCAUGUGCGUUGUUUUCCUGUCUGCCCCUUGCAGGUGGUACCGCCACUUGUUCUCCGUUGUUUCAUAAGUUUGCAGUAUUCCUGGUGCUUUUGUCAUAGCAGCGCCAGGGUAUUACUACAUAAUGGCAGUGACACAAAUUUGGUUCGCACAAUUCAUUUUUAUAAGGUAAGUGCAUGACGCAAUUACGUGGCCCAUUUCAAAAACGAGUUUGGCAUAAUUGUAAUCAUAACUAUGUGGCACAAUCAACGUUUCGAAUUAUGUGUCAUGUGUGAUUCCUAUCCCCCAUACUAUCCUAUUUUGCAUCAUACGGCCCUAUAUGUGUACUAUUGCUGUCACAUAUGAAGACGUAUGGAACCCAUAUUGCUGCCACAUCACUUCAUACGACGCCCACAUAAGUAUCAUAUUGACUCCAUAUGGCUCCGUACGGUACCCAUAAGAAUGCCAUAUUGCCUACAUAUGACUUCAUACGCGGCCCAUAUGUAUUAAUAUAGGACCCAUACGAAUCUGUACGGGAACCAUACAAACUGAUAUAGGAACCAUAUGUGUUUUAUACGGGAUUUUUCAAUAGGGCGGUGAUGUGUGUAAUUCAUUUUUAGAGCGAAAACACGCUUUCUGAUGCAACAGAAUAAUCACUCCACAUUCAAAAAGUGCAUCGGCAAUGAGAAUUUCAAUGUGACUUUAAUGCGAAAAUCCUUGCUGCUGUACAUUUGGCCAAUGGUAAACUAGGCUGGCCUCCAAUAGGUGCGACCGAGCGCUGUUCCACUUCGUUCCCAUUGAUACAAUGAUUUCUCUUUGAAACCCACUAAAUCCUUGUUGUUUUCAAUAUGGUAUUUGUCCAAAAUUGUCGAUUCGGAGAAUUGUGAAUUUCAAUGAGAACUGUAAAUGUGAUAUCCACUUAAACCGAAUGAGAUUCCUGGUCUAUUUUGAAUUGGACUAUUUCCAGCAGGUAGGUUCACUAAACAGCGAUAUUGUUGCUUGCUCCUGUGCAGACGCAUUCUGCGUAAUGUAUUGUUCUUUAACCUUCUACAUUAGUACAACGUCGCGCACAAUGAUACCAACUAGCAGAACGAAAGUAGUGACCUACAGAUCGAUCUGUUAAAUAACCUCUGUUGGGAACAAAUGGAGAAUAUCUACAUUUGUUGUCGCUCGCUUCAUCUCACUGGUACAAAAGAUAGCUGCUUGUUCGUCGACUUUGUACAAGACACUGGCUGAGGGACACAAGCGUUCACGUUUGAGACCACUGAGUGAACGCCGUGAGCCCGCCACGAAUUGCCCGAGUGGAUAUGCCUUCCGCUUUUGAUUUUGACACCCCUGACGAUGGCCCAGAUGGGCUGCGUCUUGCAGGCGUUAGGGAAAAGGGUGCGCAGAGAAAAAGGUUGAUACUGUGCGAAAAAUACAGUGCAUGUUGAUAUCUUCUUUUUAGCCUUUAUUGCGCUCUGUGCAGCAGGGCAAGGACCGAUUUCAUGCUGAAAAUUUGAUGCAUCAAUUAAAUUUUCCGCAUUUCGAUUACAUAUGUGCUAAGAAGGUUUGUUGGAAUUUAGUUCUUAUUAGUUUACUGCACUGGCCCUUUCUACUGCUCUGGCGCGCGAAUUAAUAACACUAUUUCUAAUGGAUAUUUCCAUAUUUCCUCUCCGUGUAGUUGCCUAUGACGACUAACAUCGCGCGCCCCCUGUACGCGUAGUAGGCCUGAUUCUAAAUCUGUUCCUGUACAUGACGGCGCCAUUAUUAUUUCUGUCGUUCGCUGCGGUUCGAUUCGUUGGCAAUUAUGUUAUGUUCUUGGUUAUUCAUUGUGAGAAGGAAUCGGGAAAACAUGCCGUCGAGCACGACUCCAUCGUGAACUUCCACGCAACAGAUGACUUCGACAAACAGAAGUUAUACGAGGCUUUUUGGAAUGCGACGCGAUGCGACACAUCUUACACGGCAGAGACAAGGCAGGAUGAAUUAGUGUCGCCGAAGCUGACGUAACACGGGGUCGCAAACCACGUGCAGAAAAAAAAAAAAGGAACCGCUUGAAGGUGUUGGCGAGAAACCCGGGGCCUCGGUCGGAGAGAACUCGUGUCAGAGAGAGACUCGUGUGCUAGUGACUGAUUAGAAGUGAACCGCUAUCACGGCUGUCGCAAGGUGUACACCAGUAUGCGCUGAUCGAAACAUGUUGUCUCUUAGGUUUUUAGGCAAGGCAGGACAAACAAGCACUGCGCAAGGCAUGCAGAAGACGACAUUGCUUCUGCCGCUCGAUUCCCUGAAAAUCAGUGCACGGAGAACACAAGAGUUUGAAAGCAACAAAAACACGUGAAACUUUUACAGACAGAAGUGGCGACGCUGGCGAAACUUAAUCGUAUGCUGCAAAACGCCAUCGUUUCGAAAGUUUUCCAAACUGGUGCCCUGGUCAGUGCUACGUUCAGCCUCCUGCCACCACUGCUAAGAAAGAAGACAGAUGGACUCAUCAAGAAAUCUGAUUGAUCCACGUUGCAUAUAAUUACAAAAGCAACGCUGCAUCGCCC
Molecule: long non-coding RNA, 2549 nt
Organism: Ornithodoros turicata
Lineage: Eukaryota; Metazoa; Arthropoda; Arachnida; Ixodida; Argasidae
Exons: 6
Source: RefSeq, a predicted model, not a curated record